This 76-nucleotide transfer RNA is filed under the name Bacillota bacterium. Its description in RNAcentral is "Firmicutes bacterium (anaerobic digester metagenome) tRNA-Val". It matches the Rfam family "tRNA". From Rfam's summary of the family: Transfer RNA (tRNA) molecules are approximately 80 nucleotides in length. The record is from RNAcentral. Lineage: Bacteria; Bacillati; Bacillota.
GGGCGAAUAGCUCAGCUGGAAGAGCACCUCCUUUACACGGAGGGGGUCGGGGGUUCGAGCCCCUCUUCGCCCACCA